Molecule: transfer RNA, 72 nt
Filed under: Marmota monax (woodchuck)
Lineage: Eukaryota; Metazoa; Chordata; Mammalia; Rodentia; Sciuridae
Rfam family: tRNA
About the family: Transfer RNA (tRNA) molecules are approximately 80 nucleotides in length. Their secondary structure includes four short double-helical elements and three loops (D, anti-codon, and T loops). Further hydrogen bonds mediate the characteristic L-shaped molecular structure. tRNAs have two regions of fundamental functional importance: the anti-codon, which is responsible for specific mRNA codon recognition, and the 3' end, to which the tRNAs corresponding amino acid is attached (by aminoacyl-tRNA synthetases). tRNAs cope with the degeneracy of the genetic code in two manners: having more than one tRNA (with a specific anti-codon) for a particular amino acid; and 'wobble' base-pairing, i.e. permitting non-standard base-pairing at the 3rd anti-codon position.
Source: Rfam by way of RNAcentral
GGGGUGGUGGCUCAGUGACAGAGCGCUUGCCUAGCAUGUGUGAGGCACUGGGUUAGAUCCUCAGCCCCCCCA